CUACGGGGCGCUGCAGUGGGGAAUAUUGGACAAUGGGCGAAAGCCUGAUCCAGCAAUGCCGCGUGUGUGAAGAAGGCCUGCGGGUUGUAAAGCACUUUCAGUAGGGAAGAUAAUGACGGUACCUACAGAAGAAGCACCGGCUAACUCUGUGCCAGCAGCCGCGGUAAUACAGAGGGUGCAAGCGUUAAUCGGAAUUACUGGGCGUAAAGCGCGCGUAGGCGGUCUGUUAAGUCGGAUGUGAAAGCCCCGGGCUCAACCUGGGAACUGCAUUCGAUACUGGCAGGCUAGAGUAUGGUAGAGGGAAGUGGAAUUCCGGGUGUAGCGGUGAAAUGCGUAGAUAUCCGGAGGAACAUCAGUGGCGAAGGCGGCUUCCUGGACCAAUACUGACGCUGAGGUGCGAAAGCGUGGGGAGCAAACAGGAUUAGAUACCCGGGUAGUC
This 439-nucleotide ribosomal RNA is filed under the name uncultured bacterium. Its description in RNAcentral is "partial 16S ribosomal RNA". It matches the Rfam family "Bacterial small subunit ribosomal RNA", at positions 339 to 795 of the family's 1533-position model. The record is from RNAcentral.